ACCGGAAGUGCUUCGUCGAGUUUUCGAAACACUGCGGAACGUGUCUGUUGCAGCAGCAAAAGUUCCUAAAUGUGAGCGACUUCCUCCGGCUGGCUGGUUGAACAGAGAGCGAUGGCCGACCCAGAGCUCCUGCUGGACUCCAGCAUUCGGAUGUGGGUGGUGCUACCCAUCGUCUUCGUCACCUUCUUCGUGGGGAUCAUCCGUCACUACGUCACCCAGCUGCUGCACAGCGACAAGAAGGUCGACCUGGAGCAGGUCUCUGACAGUCAGGUUCUCCUACGCAGCCGCAUCCUCCGAGAGAACGGAAAGUACAUCCCCCGACAGGUGAGAGA
This is a long non-coding RNA of Anarrhichthys ocellatus (wolf-eel), 332 nucleotides long. RefSeq lists it as uncharacterized. NCBI's taxonomy places the organism in Eukaryota, Metazoa, Chordata, Actinopteri, Perciformes, Anarhichadidae. The transcript is spliced from 3 exons. The record is from RefSeq and is a predicted model, not a curated record.